RNAcentral lists this long non-coding RNA (580 nucleotides) under Apteryx rowi (Okarito brown kiwi). RNAcentral describes it as "lncRNA (ENSARWG00000018724.1)". Lineage: Eukaryota; Metazoa; Chordata; Aves; Apterygiformes; Apterygidae. The record is from RNAcentral.
AUGAAGAGAUUCAGGUAUGAUUGCCUAACUCAUUUGCCUGAGAUCACACAACAAAUCAAUGGUGAAACUACCUACAAGCUUUUUGUAUUCUAGGAUUGUAUUUAAAUGUUUGUCUUUUGAAAACAGAAGGAAAAUAUGGAUUGCUAUGAAUUGAAAUAUUUCUCAGUUAGUUGAGGGAACAUUGGGUUUGAAACAUGAAAACCUCUCCUAACUUGAGCUUUAUCCCAAAAUAUAUUUGAAAUAAUCUUUGUUACCACACAAACAUACAAGUCAUUCAUGUGCUUUCUUUGCUUUAUUUCCAGAGAAAUAAUUGUGGUUUUUAUCUUGUUUCUGCUCCAGAGGAGAUGGUUCUAGUUUUCUCAGAAACAGGCUUGUUUUGGCUGUUGGGAUUCUUUAACAGCAGUCAUGCUGGGAAAUGCAGUUCCUCAGGAAGAGCUGAAAAUUGAGGGCAUGUGACCACCUUUGAGAAUUAUUAUAAAGAACAAGCUGUGCUGUGCAUGCGAGCUGAGGUGGUAUCUUGGGGGAAAKGUAGCCUGCUGGGGUACAGAAGUUAUUUAAGAGAAGCUGUGCCCUGUGUUCU